CAAAAUAGUAUAAGAAACUGUAUGGAGAUUAUUGAAACCUCAUAUUCUUUUUACAAAACUCCAAAAUGUAAUAGUCAUCUUCAAGAAUGGAUUUGUAAAUUAAGCCCAGAUACUAAAAAAUACAGAUUGAAAGAACCAACAAGAUGGAUCAAAAGUCACGAAUUGGUUAUGGUUUUUAUAGAAUUAAGCCUCUUAUCUCGUCUUUGGAAAAAAUUAUUGAAGACUGGAGAGAUAAACACACAACAGUUAAUGCAAGUUUACUUUUAAGUUCAAUAAAAAAACCUGAAUGAAUUUUUAAUAGCAUUAUUUUCUAUGCAAGCUUUAUAUUCAUUCACACUACCAUUAAGCAGAAUGUUACAAUCUCUUAACAUUGAUUUGGUGGUGGCAGUUGAUAUGGCUAAACUAAUUAUUGACAAAUUAAAGAAAAUACGGAAUAAUGUCGACCUA
This 447-nucleotide long non-coding RNA is filed under the name Androctonus crassicauda. Lineage: Eukaryota; Metazoa; Arthropoda; Arachnida; Scorpiones; Buthidae. The record is from RNAcentral.